GACGAACGCUGGCGGCGUGCUUAACACAUGCAAGUCGAACGGAAAGGCCCUGCUUUUGUGGGGUGCUCGAGUGGCGAACGGGUGAGUAACACGUGAGUAACCUGCCCUUUACUUUGGGAUAACUUCAGGAAACUGGGGCUAAUACCGGAUAGGAGCUCCUGCUGCAUGGUGGGGGUUGGAAAGUUUCGGCGGUUGGGGAUGGUCUCGCGGCUUAUCAGCUGGUUGGUGGGGGAGUGGCUUACCAAGGCUUUGACGGGUAGGCGGCCUGCGAGGGUGACCGGCGACAUUGGGCCUGAGAUACGGCCCAGACUCCUACGGGAGGCAGCAGUGGAGAAUAUUGCACAAUGGGCGGAAGCCUGAUGCAGCAACGCCGCGUGCGGGAUGACGGCCUUCGGGUUGUAAACCGCUUUCGCCUGUGACGAAGCGUGAGUGACGGUAAUGGGUAAAGAAGCACCGGCUAACUACGUG
This 468-nucleotide ribosomal RNA is filed under the name uncultured bacterium. Its description in RNAcentral is "partial 16S ribosomal RNA". It matches the Rfam family "Bacterial small subunit ribosomal RNA", at positions 28 to 507 of the family's 1533-position model. The record is from RNAcentral.